This 600-nucleotide ribosomal RNA is filed under the name uncultured archaeon. Its description in RNAcentral is "bacterial SSU rRNA". It matches the Rfam family "Archaeal small subunit ribosomal RNA", at positions 109 to 723 of the family's 1478-position model. The record is from RNAcentral.
CUGCCCUAUGGUGGAGGAUAACCCCGGGAAACUGGGGAUAAUACUCCAUAAGUCAGGAGUACUGGAAUGUCUCCUAACUGAAAGUUGCGGCGCCAUAGGAUGAAUCUGCGGCCGAUUAGGUAGUUGUUGGGGUAACGGCCCAACAAGCUUGUUAUCGGUACGGGUUGUGGGAGCAAGAGCCCGGAGAUGGAAUCUGAGACACGAUUCCAGGCCCUACGUUUCCCACCCCCUCUUCGAAAACUUUACAAUGCAGGAAACUGUGAUAAGGGAACCCCGAGUGCCCGUACACGCGGGCUGUCCCGGUGUUUAAAACACAUCGGAAGAAAGGGCCGGGCAAGACCGGUGCCAGCCGCCGCGGUAAUACCGGCGGCUCGAGUGGUGACCACUUUUAUUGGGCUUAAAGCGUUCGUAGCUUGAUUUUUAAGUCUCUUGGGAAAUCUCACGGCUUAACUGUGAGGCGUCUAAGAGAUACUGGGAAUCUAGGGACCGGGAGAGGUAAGAGGUACUUUCAGGGUAGAAGUGAAAUUCUGUAUCCUUGGGGGACCACCGAUGGCGAGCAUCUACAGACGCUUCGACAGUGAGACGAGGCUGGGGAGCGAC